UGUGCUGGAGGAGAAUGGAGCAUGUGGAGUGAAUCGGUGGCAGUGGGCAUGUCACAGUUCACUCUGGGAACCUUAUCAACACUGCUGGUGGAGUACAUUUGGGCAGCAGCGGGAUGGAUUGCAAGAUUGGAUUCCAGCUGAGUAUCACCCUUUUAGUGGUAGUAUUGGUGGGCCGUUGUGAGGCGUUGUGGUUUUCCUGGGGCAGUACAGAUGGCACCACUGAGGCCCCAUCGCUUGACAAUGAGGGAUCUGGGAACCCAGUGACUAGCAAUGAAUCACCAACGGCGGAGAACAUUGAAGAAGUGGGGGCAGAUAUCAUUGACAUAGAAAGCGGGAUACAUAAGUUUGCGCAAACUUGGAACCAGAAUGCAAAGGCCACGGAGGCCCCCAAGCUGACCACUGUGAGGUCAAAAGCCAGAAAUGAGCGCCCAAUGGAAAAGGGUGCCAGCCGGCCCACGUCAAGGGGAAGCAAACCUGAUGAGAUCGGUGUCUCCCUCCUGCAACUGAUCGGGGACCCUCCCCCAGACGAGAUCACCAAGAUCUAUGGUCCCGACAACAGCCCCGGCUACGUCUUCGGUCCCGACGCCAACACGGGCCAGUUGGCACGUGCCCAUCUUCCCAGCCCCUUCUACCGGGACUUCUCCCUCCUCUUCAACCUGAAGCCCCAGUCCACCAAGGGCGGAGUCAUCUUUUCGGUCACAGACGCCUCGCAGAAGAUCAUGUAUGUGAGCGUCAAGCUGUCGCCGGUCAAAGCGAACAAGCAGAAUGUCAUCUUCUACUACACGGAGCCCGACUCGCAGGUGUCGUACGUGGCGGCCACCUUCCCCGUGCACAACCUGGCCGACCAGUGGAAUCGCUUCUCCAUCUCCGUGCUGGACGACAAGGUCACCUUCUACAUCAACUGCGACGACCAACCCCAGGUGGUACGCUUCGAGAGGUCCCCGGAUGAGAUGGAGCUGGAGGCCGGAGCCGGGGUGUUCGUGGGCCAAGCCGGAGGGGCCGAUCCCGAUAAGUUCCUGGGGGUGAUUGGGGAGCUGAGGGUUGUUGGAAACCCCCGGGCUGCUGAAAGACAGUGUGAGGAGGAAGGGGACGACUCGGAUGUGGCUUCAGGAGAUGGCGGAAGCGGCGAUGUGGAAGGGAAACUGGACGGGAAGAGGAAAGGCUCGACUACCCCUCCGUCGUCACGCCCGAUUCAGCAGCCCCCAGUGACCCGGCAACAACCAGAGGUGUCUCCCAAGAAAGAGACUGGCACAGGUGGAUCUAGAGGAGAGAAGGGUGACAGAGGAGAGAAAGGAGUCAGGGGUCCUUUCGGUCCAAAGGGAGAUUCUGGGUCUGAGUCGGGCACACGAGGAGGGGCACGUGGAGAGAAGGGAGUGCCUGGAGAAAAGGGAAUGAAGGGAAAAGCAGGCUUCGGAUACCCUGGGUCGAAGGGCGACCCCGGCCCCGCUGGUCCCCCCGGACCACCAGGCUCCCCGGGGCCCGCGGCUGAGGUGGUAUCACGUGGCGACAGCUCCGUGAUUCAGACGGUUGCGGGUCCCAGAGGACCAGCUGGAACUCCGGGACCUGCAGGCCCUGAGGGGCCCGCAGGAGCCGACGGAGAGCCUGGUGAUCCUGGUGAAGAUGGUUCUCAAGGCCUUGUUGGACCGCCAGGCUUCCCUGGAACCCCAGGAGACUCUGGGCUCAAAGGAGAGAAGGGUGACCGUGGUGAGGGCCAGCCGGGCCCCAGUGGACCUCCCGGACCCCCAGGACUCCCAGCGCCAUCCAGUCACGACCGGCCCACCUUUGUGGACAUGGAAGGCUCUGGGUUCCCUGACUUGGAGGCUCUUCGGGGACUGCCUGGUUUGCCUGGCCCUCCUGGACUCCCCGGGGCCCCAGGUCCUGCCGUUGUUGGUACAGGGCUCUCGAGCUCGUUUGGCCCCCAAGGUCCCCCAGGACAAGAUGGUGCCCCUGGUCAACCGGGGUUACCCGGCCCACCUGGUACAGAUGGUCGCCCAGCAGUUGCAGGGGCCAGGGGAGAGAAGGGUGACCCAGGUGAACUCGGUCUUCCGGGAGCAGUCGGCGUAAAGGGCGCACAGGGAUUGACUGGUAUCCCUGGUCAGCCUGGACUGGGCGGAUUGGCUGGCCUUCCUGGACCAAUGGGACCAGUGGGACAACCCGGGCCACCAGGACCCCCCGGACCAAGCUAUCACGCUGGCUUUGAUGACAUGGAAGGCUCUGGUGUGGGAGUGGCCAAUGGGGUUCCUGGAACCCGAGGGCCAGACGGACGACAGGGUACUACUGGCAUCCCUGGCCUACCGGGAAAGCCUGGUUUCCCUGGUCCUCCUGGCGAGAUGGGAAAUGAAGGACUACAAGGAAGAGAUGGCCGACCAGGGUUGGACGGUUUCCCUGGACCUAAUGGACAAAAGGGGGACAGAGGAGAAAGAGGCGAAACUGGUCGCGAUGGAAAUGGACAGCCUGGACCACCAGGCCCACCCGGCCCACCAGGACAAAUAAUCUACCAGACCUCCAGCAGCUAUGAUGGUGUCGUUGGAGGAGCUGGGCCCCAGGGUGAAACUGGUCUACCUGGCCAAGCUGGAUUCCCUGGUCCUAUUGGAUCAAAGGGCGACAAGGGAGACCCAGGACAGCCCGGUUAUGGAAUCAAGGGCGAGAAGGGCGAGCCUGGCUUAAUCAUUGGGCCUGAUGGGAGUCCUUUGUACCUGCGAGAAUUGUCGGGUGAGAAGGGAGACAGAGGACCUGCCGGACCCGUCGGGCCUCCUGGGCAGUAUGGACCUUCUGGGAUAAAGGGUGAAUUUGGAAUGCCUGGAAGACCUGGUCGUCCUGGUGUAAACGGAUACAAGGGUGAAAAAGGAGAGCCAUCCACAGGUGCCGGAUUUGGCUACCCAGGUGUCCCAGGCCCACCCGGACCCCCAGGACCACCCGGACCAGCUGUGCCUGUGGACCGCUUCAACGGAUAUGACGCCUCAAGGAAUUAUCCAGCGACAAAGGGGGAGAAAGGUGAUCACGGAGCUCAAGGUCUCCCAGGAACGCCAGGUGUGGCCUCUAACUUAGACAUAUUCGCAUUCAAGAAUGACCUGAAAGGAGAGCGCGGGGAUUCUGGCGUGAAGGGGGAGAAGGGAGAGCCAAGUGGUGGCUAUGAUGACCCCCAUUUUAGAGGACAACAAGGCCCACCAGGACCCCCUGGAAACCCAGGACUUAUGGGUCCAAAGGGAGAUUCAAUCAUGGGCCUCCCUGGUCCCCAGGGCCCACCAGGCUCCCCAGGGAACGGCUACGAUGGUCGUCCAGGAAUCCCAGGCCCACCAGGUCCUCCCGGGCCCCCAGGGUCCCCCUCACAACCAGGGGCCUAUAGACCUAACCACUCCAUCAAUAUUCCUGGCCCCCCCGGACCUGCUGGACCACCUGGAACUCCUGGUCACACGUCAGGGGUGACAGUUUUGAGGUCAUACGACACGAUGAUUGCUACUGCAAGACGCCAGUCGGAGGGCACCCUCAUCUACAUUGUCGACAAAACAGAUCUCUACAUUCGAGUCCGCAAUGGAUUUAAACAAGUCCUGCUCGGUGACUACAGUCCCUUCUACAGAGAUCUGGACAAUGAAGUAGCGGCUGUCCAGCCCCCCCCCGUCGUCAACUAUCCCCAGUCCCAGGAUCACUCAGCCAACAAUGGAGCUGAACACUUCUCCCAAGGCGGUACCGCCACCCACCCCAUCAAGCCUCCUCCUCACAAGCCGGUGGAGAUCCCCAGGCCUGCCAGACCCGACAACCGCAACCUCGACCCCAGAUAUCCCCCUCAGUAUGACCCCAGAUACCCCUCUCAGACUGACGCUAGGUACCCCCCUCAGACAGAUGGCCGCUACAGCCAUGUGCAGCCUGAGAACAGGUAUCCCAACCAGCCCGAAAGCCGAUUCCCAGUCACCCCCCCAGAGAAGACCCGUUCCCCUUCCUGUUCCCCAGCCUGGCGGUCACUUGCAUACAUCAGGGCCAGGACUCCACCUGAUCGCCCUAAACAUGCCCCAAGUGGGCAACAUGCGGGGCAUUCGUGGGUCAGACUUCCUGUGUUUCCAGCAGGCUCGUGCUGUGGGCCUGAAGGGCACCUUCAGGGCUUUCUUGUCCUCCAAGCUCCAGGACCUCUACAGCAUUGUUCGCAAGUCCGACAGAGACAGCAUUCCCAUCAUAAACCUGAAGGACCAAGUGCUGUUUAAUAGCUGGGAGUCUAUGUUCAGUAAGACUGGGGUCAGGAUGAAGGAAAAUGCACCAAUCUACUCCUUUGAUGGCAGAGAUAUCCUUAGGGACAGUGCAUGGCCUGAAAAAAUGGUCUGGCACGGCUCUAGCAACGAGGGUCACCGCCAGACUGACAACUACUGCGAGACAUGGAGGGCCGGAGACCGUGAGGUGACAGGCCUAGCGUCCUCACUGCAGACCGGCCAGCUCCUACAACAAUUGCCCAGCAGUUGCUCUAGCUCCUACAUAGUGCUGUGUAUCGAGAACAGCUCUCUCUCACACUCCAAAAAAUAAUUUACAAAAACAUCCCUGUCACUUUGGUCCAAGUAAACGCAUUACAAGUGUCCAAACAGGCCCAUUCCUCCUCCCUCCGCCCCUAGAAAUAUGACGUCUUUCGAACUGGGUCUGCAGCACUUGCCUGGCAGAGAAGUUUCCCAUUGUCUUCUCUAUCCCCUCCAUAAUGCCAAAGAGACGGGUCGAACAGAGAGGUGUUUGCCUUUUUCUCGGGGCAUUGGCACAUAUUUUCCAAGGGGUGGAACAAGAGAAGAGAAGCUAACUGCGGCAGCAUUUUUAAAAUUGUGUGCGUAAAAAAAUCUGUUUGUAUAUGAUAUGUCUGUUUGAGUUUUAUUUUAUUCCUGAUUUGAUGUUACUUUUGAAGUGGUCUUUAAAUUUGGUAUAUUCAACCAUUUUAAUGUACCAUUUUCCACAUUUUCAUUUUAUUUUCAUUCCAUUUAAGGCUUGUAGGGUACAGCAACAUUUUUAAAUGAUAUUUUAAGAAUUAAAGAAGAUAAUAGAUAUUUAUUUUUAAAUGAAGUUAUGUUAGAACACACAAUUUGAUUUGGAAUAGUAACACAUGAAAAAUGCCUUAAUCCAUAUUGUAGUCAGCACUUUUUCACAGACUAUUUCCUACAUUUACACAGGUGAGGGUGUUUCUAACCUAAUAUGGAAAACUGUACGUUGCGAAAAGGAGUGUGUGGUUUUAGAAAUGCAUGUCAAAAGAGAUUAUGCUUUGAUGUCAAGAUACUUUUAAAAAUAAGUAAAUAAAACUAAGGUAAGAUGUGAUGACUCUUAGAAUAUAUAUGACUAAUUCCUACAUCUGUAGAAGUUUACUGUAAAUGUCUCCUUGCCAUUUUACAUUUGGUGAACAUUGUUUUAUAUGUCCUCAUUGGGCAUAGCCUACACUAAAUUCACCAUACUCAUAUCCAAGACGCAAGUUACAAUGUCUUUGGUAACCGUAAAGCAGAUGCUGAGACAAAUUUGAUGUAAGGGUCAAUUUUGCUUUUAAUCAAAAAAUAUAUAAUCCUGUUGAUAAUAACCUGCCAUUGGGGUUUGAAAAUGUUUUGAGUUCAAUUUGGUGCUAAUCUCUAUUGGAGUGACUGCUGACUGUAUUGGUUGAGGAAACCCAGAGCAGCCUUGUGUUAAUUAACUUCUGAGACUAUCUUGGCUAUAGUGCUACUGUUGUGUCUUGACUGAACCAGUAUGAACCUGUGGAUAUUCAUUAUUUUUGUAACCAGUAUGUGCUGUAUCAUUUCUCAGAGGCACUAAAUAAAUGUUAUUGUUUUUUAAUUCA
Oncorhynchus gorbuscha (pink salmon) is the source of this 5785-nucleotide RNA transcript. It is a transcript of the gene named collagen alpha-1(XVIII) chain-like, with no coding region annotated. The transcript is spliced from 41 exons. The record is from RefSeq and is a predicted model, not a curated record. Lineage: Eukaryota; Metazoa; Chordata; Actinopteri; Salmoniformes; Salmonidae.